Molecule: ribosomal RNA, 1431 nt
Filed under: uncultured organism
Description: 16S ribosomal RNA
Rfam family: Bacterial small subunit ribosomal RNA
Source: RNAcentral
GAUGAACGCUAGCUACAGGCUUAACACAUGCAAGUCGAGGGGCAGCAUGAACUUAGCUUGCUAAGUUUGAUGGCGACCGGCGCACGGGUGAGUAACACGUAUCCAACCUGCCGAUGACUCGGGGAUAGCCUUUCGAAAGAAAGAUUAAUACCCGAUGGCAUAGUUCUUCCGCAUGGUAGAACUAUUAGAGAAUUUCGGUCAUCGAUGGGGAUGCGUUCCAUUAGGUUGCUGGCGGGGUAACGGCCCACCAAGCCUUCGAUGGAUAGGGGUUCUGAGAGGAAGGUCCCCCACAUUGGAACUGAGACACGGUCCAAACUCCUACGGGAGGCAGCAGUGAGGAAUAUUGGUCAAUGGACGAGAGUCUGAACCAGCCAAGUAGCGUGAAGGAUGACUGCCCUAUGGGUUGUAAACUUCUUUUAUACGGGAAUAAAGUGAGGCACGUGUGCCUUUUUGUAUGUACCGUAUGAAUAAGGAUCGGCUAACUCCGUGCCAGCAGCCGCGGUAAUACGGAGGAUCCGAGCGUUAUCCGGAUUUAUUGGGUUUAAAGGGAGCGUAGGCGGACGCUUAAGUCAGUUGUGAAAGUUUGCGGCUCAACCGUAAAAUUGCAGUUGAUACUGGGUGUCUUGAGUACAGUAGAGGCAGGCGGAAUUCGUGGUGUAGCGGUGAAAUGCUUAGAUAUCACGAAGAACUCCGAUUGCGAAGGCAGCUUGCUGGACUGUGACUGACGCUGAUGCUCGAAAGUGUGGGUAUCAAACAGGAUUAGAUACCCUGGUAGUCCACACAGUAAACGAUGAAUACUCGCUGUUUGCGAUAUACAGUAAGCGGCCAAGUGAAAGCGUUAAGUAUUCCACCUGGGGAGUACGCCGGCAACGGUGAAACUCAAAGGAAUUGACGGGGGCCCGCACAAGCGGAGGAACAUGUGGUUUAAUUCGAUGAUACGCGAGGAACCUUACCCGGGCUUGAAUUGCAACUGAAUGAUGUGGAGACAUGUCAGCCGCAAGGCAGUUGUGAAGGUGCUGCAUGGUUGUCGUCAGCUCGUGCCGUGAGGUGUCGGCUUAAGUGCCAUAACGAGCGCAACCCUUAUCGAUAGUUACCAUCAGGUUAUGCUGGGGACUCUGUCGAGACUGCCGUCGUAAGAUGUGAGGAAGGUGGGGAUGACGUCAAAUCAGCACGGCCCUUACGUCCGGGGCUACACACGUGUUACAAUGGGGGGUACAGAAGGCAGCUACACGGCGACGUGAUGCUAAUCCCUAAAGCCUCUCUCAGUUCGGAUUGGAGUCUGCAACCCGACUCCAUGAAGCUGGAUUCGCUAGUAAUCGCGCAUCAGCCACGGCGCGGUGAAUACGUUCCCGGGCCUUGUACACACCGCCCGUCAAGCCAUGAAAGCCGGGGGUACCUGAAGUGCGUAACCGCAAGGAGCGCCCUAGGGUA